UACGGAGGGUGCAAACGUUAUCCGGAAUCACUGGGCGUAAAGCGCGUGUAGGUGGUUUUGUAAGUGGAUGAUUAAAGACCGUCGCCUAACGACGGGACUGUUGUCCAAACUGCAUUACUUGAGGGUGGUAGGGGCAAGUGGAACUUUGGGUGUAGGGGUGAAAUCCGUAGAUAUCCAAAGGAACACCAAUGGCGAAGGCAGCUUGCUGGGCCACAUCUGACACUGAGACGCGAAAGCGUGGGGAGCGAAC
This 250-nucleotide ribosomal RNA is filed under the name uncultured bacterium. Its description in RNAcentral is "partial 16S ribosomal RNA". It matches the Rfam family "Bacterial small subunit ribosomal RNA", at positions 524 to 773 of the family's 1533-position model. The record is from RNAcentral.